UUCAAGCCAAACUCAUUAGGCUAACUGAGA
RNAcentral lists this non-coding RNA (30 nucleotides) under Mus musculus (house mouse). The record is from RNAcentral. Lineage: Eukaryota; Metazoa; Chordata; Mammalia; Rodentia; Muridae.